This is a non-coding RNA of Dermacentor andersoni, 387 nucleotides long. The record is from RefSeq and is a predicted model, not a curated record. NCBI's taxonomy places the organism in Eukaryota, Metazoa, Arthropoda, Arachnida, Ixodida, Ixodidae.
UCGGAUAGCUGCUCUGUGACCGAUGAAGAACAGCGUGCCCGUGAGGAUCACCUUUGCAAACAGAAGCAGGAGUGGGCACGAAAGCAUCGGCGACCAAUUGCAGUAUAUCACAGUGACCACAAAGCAAUGGUUACCAUGGUGACAAAGUUGUGGACGCUUCCAGACACAAGACUGAUUUAUGCAGCAGGCGUUCCUUGGCUGCAUCUGCAAUGCUAGCUCAAGGCGAGAAUGCUUUGGGCACGUUGCCAUCUGCGUCCACAGUCAUCCUGGCACAACUGCCAUGGUGGAAAAGGAAAGUAUCAGCAACGUUCUCACACCUACACUGUCCUUAUUGAACUUUCCAAAAGGGGAACGUAUCCAAUAAAAUAAAGCACUAAUUUACUUUCA